CGACUUAGUUUUCGUAAAGGUGAGCGUUGAAAAGCAAAAAAAAGGCAAGUCCUGGCUCUAGUUCUGUGAUUUCAGACAAGUCGCUGAAGCAUAUCCAGCCUCCGAUUACUCAUCUGCAAAAUGGGAAGGAUAACAGCACCCGCCUUGUGAGGUCAAUAACAAGCCAGCGCCAGGGAAGGAGUUAGCAUCACGCAUGGCAAACCGGCGGCGCUCCGUAAAGGGAAUUUGGCUUCAUUCUCAUCCCGAUCUCAGCAUCUCCUUUGACCUUGGAGCCUCCUGAAAGAGGGGAGCCCUUAGGCUCUGCACCUGGGAUCCCAUUCACAGUCAAGGUCAGAGAAUCCCUAAACAUUCC
This 352-nucleotide long non-coding RNA is filed under the name Mustela putorius furo (domestic ferret). RNAcentral describes it as "lncRNA (ENSMPUG00000026564.1)". Lineage: Eukaryota; Metazoa; Chordata; Mammalia; Carnivora; Mustelidae. The record is from RNAcentral.